UGCUCUAUCACCUGCCAUCUUC
This 22-nucleotide non-coding RNA is filed under the name Arabidopsis thaliana (thale cress). The record is from RNAcentral. Lineage: Eukaryota; Viridiplantae; Streptophyta; Magnoliopsida; Brassicales; Brassicaceae.